UUGGGAAUUUUGCACAAUGGACGAAAGUCUGAUGCAGCAACACUGCGUGAAGGAUGAAGGUUUUCGGAUCGUAAACUUCUUUUAUCUGGGAAUAAUCUUGAAGGUACCAGAUGAAUAAGCACCGGCUAACUACGUGCCAGCAGCCGCGGUAAUACGUAGGGUGCAAACGUUAUCCGGAUUUAUUGGGCGUAAAGAGCUCGUAGGUGGUUUUGUAAGUUGGGUAUUAAAUACUCCGGCUCAACUGGAGGAAAGUAUUCAAAACUGCAAGACUAGAGAUAUGCAGGGGAGGAUGGAACUUACGGUGUAGCAGUGAAAUGCGUAGAUAUCGUAAGGAACGCCGAUGGUGAAGACAGUUCUCUGGGCAUUAUCUGACACUGAGGAGCGAAAGCGUGGGGAGCGAACGGG
RNAcentral lists this ribosomal RNA (405 nucleotides) under uncultured bacterium. Its description in RNAcentral is "bacterial SSU rRNA". It matches the Rfam family "Bacterial small subunit ribosomal RNA", at positions 355 to 776 of the family's 1533-position model. The record is from RNAcentral.